RNAcentral lists this long non-coding RNA (678 nucleotides) under Fukomys damarensis (Damara mole-rat). Its description in RNAcentral is "lncRNA (ENSFDAG00000027675.1)". Lineage: Eukaryota; Metazoa; Chordata; Mammalia; Rodentia; Bathyergidae. The record is from RNAcentral.
AAAUGCAGAGCCGGGAGAUGGAGAAGUAGAUAAGAGGCUGCUAGUCUGAUGAGACAGAGAUGUUAAUCCCAAGACAGCAAAGGAAGAGGUCCUAGGAAGUAUGCGAGAGUCCAUACCUGCAGCAGGAGGAACAUUUGAUCAAGGAGGAAAGACGUUGGGCCUUGUUUCCAGAAGAUUCUGCAUACAUCCUGGCUUUGACUGGAAGUGGACGUCUGUGGGGUCUCCCUGAAAGACAGUGAAGACCAGAUAUGCAAGCAAAACUUUGGGGUUUCUGCCUUGUUUAGACUGAUGAGAGACUGGACUAUGGGUCGACAGAGGAUUUGUAGACCGGUGCUUCAGCUCAGAGACUACCCAAUCUCGCCAUUGUUUGAUUUUGCGCUGAGCCCUGCGUCGAGCCUUGACGUGGCACCACCCAAGACCGCGGAAACGAGCUGCGUACUCAGGUCUGUUGUGGAAGGGACGUGUCAUGGAGAUGGCUUUGCCUUGCUUGGUCACCAUGCCUCUGCUGGCCUGUUGUCCAUGGACUUUGAGAACAUCUUCAGUGUCACCGUGUCACACUGCUUGUCGUCAGCUAAUUCUUUCUGUCUUUGUCUUUCUCAGAACAGUAAGAAGGAGAUCAUCUACGGGCUAGGAAAAGAGGUCCUACUGUACAAGAAGUCAACCCUGCCAGCACCUUGA